This 454-nucleotide ribosomal RNA is filed under the name Plectosphaerella cucumerina. RNAcentral describes it as "eukaryotic LSU rRNA". The stretch from base 81 to 234 matches the Rfam family "5.8S ribosomal RNA". The record is from RNAcentral. Lineage: Eukaryota; Fungi; Ascomycota; Sordariomycetes; Glomerellales; Plectosphaerellaceae.
GCAAGGGUGCCCGCCGGUCUCAUCAGAAUCUCUGUUUUCGAACCCGACGAUACUUCUGAGUGUUCUUAGCGAACUGUCAAAACUUUUAACAACGGAUCUCUUGGCUCCAGCAUCGAUGAAGAACGCAGCGAAACGCGAUAUGUAAUGUGAAUUGCAGAAUUCAGUGAAUCAUCGAAUCUUUGAACGCACAUGGCGCCUUCCAGUAUCCUGGGAGGCAUGCCUGUCCGAGCGUCGUUUCAACCCUCGAGCCCCUGUGGCCCGGCGUUGGGGAUCUGCCACGGCAGGCCCCUAAAACCAGUGGCGGACCCGAAGGGCCCUCUCCUUUGCGCAGUAGCAUUCGCCUCGCAUCGGGAGUCCUCGGCGUCCUGCCUCUAAACCCCCCACAAGCCCGCUUCGGCGGCACCAAGGUUGACCUCGGAUCAGGUAGGAAUACCCGCUGAACUUAAGCAUAUCA